GUGGGGAAUAUUGGACAAUGGGCGCAAGCCUGAUCCAGCCAUACCGCGUGGGUGAAGAAGGCCUUCGGGUUGUAAAGCCCUUUUGUUGGGAAAGAAAUCCAACCGGCUAAUACCUGGUUGGGAUGACGGUACCCAAAGAAUAAGCACCGGCUAACUUCGUGCCAGCAGCCGCGGUAAUACGAAGGGUGCAAGCGUUACUCGGAAUUACUGGGCGUAAAGCGUGCGUAGGUGGUUGUUUAAGUCUGUUGUGAAAGCCCUGGGCUCAACCUGGGAACUGCAGUGGAAACUGGACGACUAGAGUGUGGUAGAGGGUAGCGGAAUUCCUGGUGUAGCAGUGAAAUGCGUAGAGAUCAGGAGGAACAUCCAUGGCGAAGGCAGCUACCUGGACCAACACUGACACUGAGGCACGAAAGCGUGGGGAGCAAACAGG
RNAcentral lists this ribosomal RNA (430 nucleotides) under uncultured Stenotrophomonas sp. RNAcentral describes it as "bacterial SSU rRNA". It matches the Rfam family "Bacterial small subunit ribosomal RNA", at positions 354 to 776 of the family's 1533-position model. The record is from RNAcentral. Lineage: Bacteria; Pseudomonadati; Pseudomonadota; Gammaproteobacteria; Lysobacterales; Lysobacteraceae.